GAUGAACGCUGGCGGCGUGCCUAAUACAUGCAAGUCGAGCGAACAGACGAGGAGCUUGCUCCUCUGACGUUAGCGGCGGACGGGUGAGUAACACGUGGAUAACCUACCUAUAAGACUGGGAUAACUUCGGGAAACCGGAGCUAAUACCGGAUAAUAUAUUGAACCGCAUGGUUCAAUAGUGAAAGACGGUUUUGCUGUCACUUAUAGAUGGAUCCGCGCCGCAUUAGCUAGUUGGUAAGGUAACGGCUUACCAAGGCAACGAUGCGUAGCCGACCUGCGAGGGGGAUCGGCCACACUGGAACUGAGACACGGUCCAGACUCCUACGGGAGGCAGCAGUAGGGAAUCUUCCGCAAGGGGCGAAGGCCUGACGGAGCAACGCAGCGUGAGUGAUGAAGGGCUUCGGAUCGUAAAACUCUGUUAUUAGGGAAGAACAAAUGUGUAAGUAACUAUGCACGUCUUGACGGUACCUAAUCAGAAAGCCACGGCUAACUACGU
This 496-nucleotide ribosomal RNA is filed under the name uncultured bacterium. RNAcentral's name for it is "partial 16S ribosomal RNA". It matches the Rfam family "Bacterial small subunit ribosomal RNA", at positions 28 to 506 of the family's 1533-position model. The record is from RNAcentral.